Molecule: transfer RNA, 73 nt
Filed under: Xylobanellus sp. UPOL A00604
Lineage: Eukaryota; Metazoa; Arthropoda; Insecta; Coleoptera; Lycidae
Description: tRNA-Gln
Source: RNAcentral
UUAUAAAAUAUAAUUUAAUUUUACAAUGAAAAUGUAAAGUUUUUUUUAAACUAUAUAAAUAUAUUUAAGAAAU